RNAcentral lists this unclassified non-coding RNA (21 nucleotides) under Chlamydomonas reinhardtii. RNAcentral describes it as "small RNA Cre_1249". The record is from RNAcentral. Lineage: Eukaryota; Viridiplantae; Chlorophyta; Chlorophyceae; Chlamydomonadales; Chlamydomonadaceae.
CGCCGUGAGGAGCGCUGGGCC